UGGGGAAUUUUGGACAAUGGGCGAAAGCCUGAUCCAGCCAUGCCGCGUGCAGGAUGAAGGCCUUCGGGUUGUAAACUGCUUUUGUACGGAACGAAAAGACUCUGGUUAAUACCUGGGGUCCAUGACGGUACCGUAAGAAUAAGCACCGGCUAACUACGUGCCAGCAGCCGCGGUAAUACGUAGGGUGCAAGCGUUAAUCGGAAUUACUGGGCGUAAAGCGUGCGCAGGCGGUUAUAUAAGACAGAUGUGAAAUCCCCGGGCUCAACCUGGGAACUGCAUUUGUGACUGUAUAGCUAGAGUACGGCAGAGGGGGAUGGAAUUCCGCGUGUAGCAGUGAAAUGCGUAGAUAUGCGGAGGAACACCGAUGGCGAAGGCAAUCCCCUGGGCCUGUACUGACGCUCAUGCACGAAAAGCGUGGGGGAGCAAAACAGGAUUAGAUACCCUGGUAGUCCACGCCCUAAACGAUGUCAACUGGGUUGUUGGGUCUUUCACUGACUCAGUAACGAAGCU
Molecule: ribosomal RNA, 510 nt
Filed under: uncultured bacterium
Lineage: Bacteria
Description: partial 16S ribosomal RNA
Rfam family: Bacterial small subunit ribosomal RNA
Source: RNAcentral